UACGUAGGGGGCAAGCGUUGUCCGGAAUCAUUGGGCGUAAAGAGCGCGUAGGCGGCCCUGUAAGUCCGCUGUGAAAGUCAAGGGCUCAACCCUUGGAUGCCGGUGGAUACUGCAGGGCUAGAGUCCGGAAGAGGCGAGUGGAAUUCCCGGUGUAGCGGUGAAAUGCGCAGAUAUCGGGAGGAACACCAAUGGCGAAGGCAGCUCGCUGGGACGGUACUGACGCUGAGGCGCGAAAGCGUGGGGAGCAAACAGG
This 253-nucleotide ribosomal RNA is filed under the name uncultured bacterium. RNAcentral's name for it is "partial 16S ribosomal RNA". It matches the Rfam family "Bacterial small subunit ribosomal RNA", at positions 524 to 776 of the family's 1533-position model. The record is from RNAcentral.